ACUGAGUGCCGUCCCGCGUGCCUGCUAAGUUAGGGUGGCGGAGCUGGAGCGGUGGCAUAGCCGUGCGAGGUGAGCCAGGACAGGAGAGGGAGUAGUCCCGUCUGGGAGGCAGAGGAAGAAAGAAGAGCCUGCCUGAAGAUACUGAGUGCCGUCCCGCGUGCCUGCUAAGUUAGGUGAGGGUGGUGGUGUCAUCAUGACCAACUGCUGCUCCCUAUUGUGAAGUUGACCGCGUGCCCCCAGACUGCUGCUCUGUCCCCAUUGACUAUAAUGAGGGCAGAGUUCCAGCGAGGCACGGCAAAAGGCUGUCAGAAUAAAACUAGAACAUGUCCCGUUUACUGUACAUAGGGUGGCGGAGCUGGAGCGGUGGCAUAGCCGUGCGAGGUGAGCCAGGACAGGAGAGGGAGUAGUCCCGUCUGGGAGGCAGAGGAAGAAAGAAGAGCCUGCCUGAAGAUACUGAGUGCCGUCCCGCGUGCCUGCUAAGUUAGGGCACCUGAAUACGUGAGAGGACGUCCCUGACCAGAGUGAAUCAGCAGGACCUUCAUGUGAGCAGCUACAACAUCUGGGCUGGCAGUACGGUGCCAGAAAACCAGCAAUAGUCCUUCAAAAUGUGUGACUC
Long non-coding RNA from Bufo bufo (common toad), 616 nucleotides. RefSeq lists it as uncharacterized. NCBI's taxonomy places the organism in Eukaryota, Metazoa, Chordata, Amphibia, Anura, Bufonidae. The transcript has 3 exons. The record is from RefSeq and is a predicted model, not a curated record.